GAUGAACGCUAGCGGCAGGCCUAAUACAUGCAAGUCGAACGGUAAAUAUUGUAGCAAUACGAUAUGAGAGUGACGUACGGGUGCGUAACACGUAUGCAACCUACCCAAAACUGGAGUAUAGCUCGGGGAAACCCGAAUUAACCCUUCAUAGUAUCACUGGAUGGCAUCAUUUGGUGAUUAAAACUCAGGUGGUUUUGGAUGGGCAUGCGUCUGAUUAGCUAGUUGGCGGGGUAAAGGCCCACCAAGGCGAUGAUCAGUAGGGGAACUGAGAGGUUGAUCCCCCACACUGGCACUGAGUUACGGGCCAGACUCCUACGGGAGGCAGCAGUACGGAAUAUUGGUCAAUGGAUGCAAGUCUGAACCAGCCAUGCCGCGUGCAGGAAGAAGGCCUUCUGGGUUGUAAACUGCUUUUGCCAGAGGAUAAAAUGGGCGUGCGCGCCUAAUUGAAGGUACCUGGUGAAUAAGCCACGGCUAACUACGUGCCAGCCGCCGCAGUAA
RNAcentral lists this ribosomal RNA (498 nucleotides) under uncultured bacterium. RNAcentral describes it as "partial 16S ribosomal RNA". It matches the Rfam family "Bacterial small subunit ribosomal RNA", at positions 28 to 523 of the family's 1533-position model. The record is from RNAcentral.